This 71-nucleotide transfer RNA is filed under the name Chelonia mydas (Green sea turtle). It matches the Rfam family "tRNA". Rfam says of the family: Transfer RNA (tRNA) molecules are approximately 80 nucleotides in length. Lineage: Eukaryota; Metazoa; Chordata; Testudines; Cheloniidae. The record is from Rfam by way of RNAcentral.
GCCCUCUUAGUGCAGUUGGCAGUGUCAGUCUUGUAAUCUGAAGGUCCUGAGUUCAAGUCUCAGAGAGGGCA